This 4123-nucleotide long non-coding RNA is filed under the name Homo sapiens (human). RNAcentral describes it as "HSALNT0001423". The record is from RNAcentral. Lineage: Eukaryota; Metazoa; Chordata; Mammalia; Primates; Hominidae.
GAGAAGCUGGCUGCAAGGGCUGGGCUGGCCAAGGCUGGGGCAGUUGCAAAGGGUGGGAGCGCAGCAAGCGGAGAAAUACCCCUGAGUCAGCACUGGUGCAUUGGGAGGUGUCCCGGAGAGCCUGGCCCACGACAUGGACAGGGUGUCCGAAACGUACGCCCCUCUGUAUCACCCUCUAGUCAUGCACCCCCAUCUAAUUCUGAAACCAACUCUAGCCUCAUUUUUUCCCCUCCACGAUGAUGGGCUGUAAUGCACCCUGCUCUGAGGCCUGGGGGGAAUGGAAAGACAGAAUUCUCUUUCAAGCCCAACCCAGGCCCGGGGAACCCCCUAGAUGUUACUGUGGGGUCACAGACAAGGCCGUGGGGAUUUGACACGUGGGCAGGGACAAGGGCAACCCCAAAGCUAGUGGAUCUGACAUGGGGGUGACUGGGUGGUGUGGUGGGCAUCAUUUCAUUCACUGCAGUGGAUUUGCUGCCUGGGAAAUGCAACCCCCACCGUCCGAGGUCCGCUCCUGUCUUACUAGCUACUUAGCAGCCAGCUUCCCUGUUCUGCUCCCUGAGAGAUGAAGGUGUCCCAGGCUAAGAUCCCUCCAUCACCUGCCCAUCCCUGAGGGUCUCAUGUCACCUCAGCGGCUGGCACCUCCUCUUCCCAAACACCCCGUGGUGGCUUUGGCCCAGACAGUGCCUGCCUGAGGGAAGGAGGCCUCUGGCCAUAUGAAGACCGUAGAGGCCAGGGCGGCCAUCCCUUGUUCAUUUCAUCCUGUGUAGUUCCUUUCACAAGCCCCACUGGAGUCAUCUGCUCUUCCCCGGGACCCAUUUGUGAAGUUCCUGUCUCCCUUGACCUCCCCGUAGGGAACCAGAGACCAGUGGGCAGGGACAGAGUGCUGGGGGCCAACAGUGGCAUUUGCUCUGCAGCCCUCAACCAGCAGGCCUCUCCCUUGGCUAAUUCCAGGCAGGAAGGACACUCGUUUGUCAUCCAGGCUGGGAAGGGAGACACCAGAAGAGAAAAGUGUGUCUGGGCAGGCCAGGUCUGUUCUCUCCCUCUCCCGGGUGGAGAGGUCACAGAUACCUCCAUCCCAUGGAUGAGGGCAAACUAAAAAGUCCAGAGACAAACAGCUGGUCCUCGCAGCUUCCAGGGUUGGGAGUCAGAGGCUGGGAUGGGUUACGGUUCAGCCUGCUGCACAGGUGAGUCUCCAUCCUUAGCAUCCUGCCAUGCUGACUUCAAAAGACCCUAGUGCGUGGGACCCCAAUGACUCGUUUCGGUGUGCUGGGCUCAAAAUCGUUCGUGGCCAAGCACGUUAGUCUGGAAAAUUUAAGUUGCUGCAGAUUGAUGGACAGAAGGAGAGAUGGUUUUCAAUAUACAGGGAAUGUAUUUUAAAAUGGAGCAAGAGACAGGGCUGCAAGGAGGGAACGGGCACUUCGAAAGCAGCCAGUAGAAAGUCGCUCCUAAUUCUGGGGGAGGGAAUUGUGUUCAGCCUGCAGAGUGCUUUUCUAGUCCAGGCGAUGAUUUGGUCUAAGACUUCAUUAAACAUUUGUCUAUGAGCCCAAAUUUCCCCAAAUGACUGAGGUGUUUGGUAUGAGCACAUUGCAUGCCCCAGGGAGCUUCAACGCCAGCAGCUUCCUGCCACGGUACAGGCAGGUUCUCUAAGCACGAGCUUUCAAUUCAGGCUCCUGUCUAUAGCGAGAACCAGAACACAAUGCAGGGACCCACAGGGGUCAUGUGGCUCCACCAGCCUCAGCCGUUCCCAAAAGCCCAGCUGCUGUUUCAGGGGCUUGCCUGGAUAACUUAUAUCUGAGAGGUUUGCUGCACAUCCUUUGAGUGAUUUAUGGUGAGAUCUAAAAUUUCUUUGUAAAAAGAUACCCUUUUGCUUUGGGAGGGAUCACAAGGAGCUCAGCCCUCCAGUGCCCAGGACCACCUGGGCAGAUGCCACUGUUGGCACUGUAUAAUGUCGCCCCCCAUGCAGACCUGAUCUGAGCUCUGCGUGUCAGGGAAUGCCACUUCAGCAGUGCCAGCCUGGGAGCUCCUCCAGCCGGCACCUACUGAGGCAGCAAAUGACUUUGGGGAGGCCCUUUGGCUGGGUGCAUAGGAGUCUGGGUCCCAGAGACCAUAGCUCACAUGUCUCAGGCUGCUUAUGUACUUCCCCAGAAAGAGCCACUGUCCCAAGUGUGCUUCCUGCUGCUUUUGUGCAGUCCCAUCUAGACGAGCCCCUUAUGGAGACCCCUCCUCUUCUGCCUGGCACCCAAUGCUCCCAUCAUUCAACACCUGCUACCAACACAGAAGCAGUCCAUCCCCUUCUUAAAUGCUACAGCCUCUGCCCCGGCGGCCACUAAUCAUUCUAUUCGAGUUUCCCUCCAGAGCUCAUCUCAGUAAAUCCGGAAGAAGAAAACCUCCAUCCCCAGUGAACAAGACCAUGAAGGCUGCGUCAGUGUUCCCAGGUUUCAAGCCAAGCUGGAGAAAGAUCACAACAGAGACCAGACCCGCAUUCUCCGGCCCAAUUCCACAUGGCUGAGAGAGCCAGCUAACCAGACGCAAACACACGCGGCAGGAUGGCACGCGACUGAGGCAAGGAAUAAGCCUCAACUCAUCACUGACUCCUUCUGCUGCUGCCUCUGCCGCUGCUGCCUCUGCCGCUGCUGCGGUCUGCAGUCACUUGAAGGAGAAAGAUUUCGCAGUACGGCAUUCUUAAAGCUGCAGUGUCCAAAUUCUCCUUCAAACCCCACUGUCACCGACAUCAGCCAACUUACCGGGGUCCUUCGCAGAGGUGCUGUGCCGGUAAGCCAACGGGGAAGGACCUGGAUGGAGUUCUUAGCGCCCAGAGUUUCUGCAAAGUGCAGGCAGAGGACUCCGGCUUCUUAGGGGAGAAAGCUUUUUAAAACCCAAAGGAAAGGGGAUCUUUCUGCUGGCUAUCCAAGGAGCGUGUCAAUGAGCUGAUCUAGCAUCCAGAAACCAACACACCCCUCCCUGAAAGUUACCUCUCUCCUCUGCUCAGCUGCUGCCGUCCUGCCUGGAUGCUGGCAAGUUCAGACUGCUUCGGGAGAGGCAGGACCCGAAAUAAGAAGUGUCAGCUGGGUCCCUGCACCCAAAUGGUGCCGGGAGUCAAUGCUGCAGGAGGCAGGGAUGGUCUCCCCCACCAUGCACCCGCCCCCCGCCGGUUGAAUUUAAACCCCUGACACUGCAAGAUGCUCACUCCUAUAGAGACACCUCUCCGCGGAGCCUCCUCCCUCCCCCACGCUCUCACACAACUAGGUCCAAAGCUUUGCCCCACCUCCCAGAUUUGUUCACCUGAAGAUGCUUUUCUUGAAAAAACAAAACAAAACAAAAACAAAAACAGAAGAUUGAGACUCUGCAGAGUCUUUAAUCCUUAAUUCUGGAGAAGGCGGGACUUGUUCAAAAGUUUGAGAAUUGCAGCCUGAUGCCCAGGAAGGAGCAGAGGUGAUGAGCCGACAGUCUGCUUUGCACCAGACAAGUUGACACCGUUGCUUUAUCAAGAAGGGCAGAGGUAGACCCGGGGUGAAGAGAAGAGGAAAAUUCCUCUCCAUCCACUGGCAAAUUCUCAACCGUUUGGGAAAUCUCUAUUUUUGUUUUCCUUCAAGAAAACCCCAUUUAAAAAAUUGUCAGGCACAUGAAAUGUUCAAGAUUGCCACUAAGUGUCAAUUUUGUCCUGACACGUCUGUGAUUCUUAAAAUUCCCGUUCCUGCUUCUGUGAAAGUUAAUAGUCUUUAAGAUUGAGGUAGGGAUUUAAUUGAGAAAAUUCCAGGAGAGAGAAGCACUUUAAAUGCAGAUAUGGUUAAGAUAGCGCAUUCUAAUAUAACCCACAAGGGGUUAGGCAGAAUAGAUAUACUGAGAGGUAGAAGGUGGUCAGGAAUGUAGGUAUUUCCAGGUUUUGAGUUUAUCACAAACUCAGAGCCCAAGAAAGGAAAAUAAAGGAGGAAGUGUGUGUGUGUGUGUGUGUGUGUGUGUUUGAGCGGGGAGACUAAAACUCCCCUUCUAAAUAAACUGUUCAGAAAGACCAAUUGCAUCAAUUCCAUGUACAUUUCAUUACUGAAGUAAGACCAGGAGUGUGUGACUUGUUUCUAAACGGAGUGAGAGGGGAGGCUCUGCUGCCCGCAUCCUGCUUGGGACA